Myotis lucifugus (little brown bat) is the source of this 719-nucleotide long non-coding RNA. RefSeq lists it as uncharacterized. The transcript has 5 exons. The record is from RefSeq and is a predicted model, not a curated record. NCBI's taxonomy places the organism in Eukaryota, Metazoa, Chordata, Mammalia, Chiroptera, Vespertilionidae.
GCCGCGCUUUUAAGCUCCGCGACCUUAUCUCUGAUACCUCAGCCGCCUGUCCUAAAGCGAAGCUGUCUUGUCGGGGAAGAGAGUGGUCACGGUGUCGCGUGGUAACAAAGCUUAGGACAGGAGAACCUCCAUGAGAAAGGACGUCCUCCGGUUUCUAGAAAUUGGGAAGUCGAAGAUUGAGGUUCCAGCCUAGUCUGUUCCCUGUCCAGGACCCUUUUCCUGUCUUGCAGAAGAGAGGAAGGGAAAGGGAGAGAAAAUCAUUGAUCGCUGCCUUCUGCACACCUCCUACUGUGGAUGGAACCUGCAACCCAGACAUGUGCCCUGAUCGUGAUUUGAAUCGUGACUCCUAGUGUCAUAGAUCAAUACCCAACCACUGAGCCACACCAAGUCUCCCAUCAGGAUAAAGCAGCAUUUGUCAUGCACAUACCGCCCUGUGCAGAAGUGAGGGAAGACUGCUGCAGAAGUGAAUACAGGCAACAUCUUUGAUCCCAGGGCACAGGUCUUUGAGAGGAAAUCUCCAAGCCUCUCGAGGAGGCAUUAGAAGGCUAUCCAGGCAGCAAAAGUACCUCAGGAUCAUGGCUGAUAAAUACCAGGAGAUCGGUGGCAUCCAUUUUCCUUUUCCCUUCACACCCUAUUCCAUCCAGAUAGACUUCAUGACAGUGCUGUACCAGGUGUUGGAGGAUGGCAAGAUUGGGAUAUUUGAGAGUCCAAUUGGCACU